This 441-nucleotide ribosomal RNA is filed under the name uncultured bacterium. Its description in RNAcentral is "partial 16S ribosomal RNA". It matches the Rfam family "Bacterial small subunit ribosomal RNA", at positions 338 to 795 of the family's 1533-position model. The record is from RNAcentral.
CCUACGGGCGGCUGCAGUGGGGAAUAUUGCACAAUGGGGGAAACCCUGAUGCAGCGACGCCGCGUGAGUGAAGAAGUAUUUCGGUAUGUAAAGCUCUAUCAGCAGGGAAGAAGAAAGACGGUACCUGACUCAGAAGCACCGGCUAACUACGUGCCAGCAGCCGCGGUAAUACGUAGGGGGCAAGCGUUAUCCGGAUUUACUGGGUGUAAAGGGAGCGUAGACGGCUGUGCAAGUCUGAAGUGAAAGCCCAGGGCUCAACCCUGGGACUGCUUUGGAAACUGGGGAGCUAGAGUGCUGGAGAGGUAAGUGGAAUGCCUGGGGUAGCGGUGAAAUGCGUAGAUAUUAGGAGGAACACCAGUGGCGAAGGCGGCUUACUGGACAGUAACUGACGUUGAGGCUCGAAAGCGUGGGGAGCAAACAGGAUUAGAUACCCUUGUAGUC